This 376-nucleotide ribosomal RNA is filed under the name uncultured bacterium. Its description in RNAcentral is "bacterial SSU rRNA". It matches the Rfam family "Bacterial small subunit ribosomal RNA", at positions 524 to 898 of the family's 1533-position model. The record is from RNAcentral.
GACGUAGGGGGCGAGCGUUGUCCGGAAUUACUGGGCGUAAAGAGCACGUAGGCGGGACUUUAAGUCAGGUGUGAAAGACCGAGGCUCAACCUCGGGGUUGCACUUGAAACUGGAGUUCUUGAGGGCAGGAGAGGAAAGCAGAAUUCCUGGUGUAGCGGUGAAAUGCGUAGAAAUCAGGAGGAAUACCAGUGGCGAAGGCGGCUUUCUGGACUGACCCUGACGCUGAGGUGCGAAAGCGUGGGUAGCAAACAGGAUUAGAUACCCUGGUAGUCCACGCCGUAAACGAUGGAUACUAGGUGUAGGAGGUAUCGACCCCUUCUGUGCCGCAGCUAACGCAAUAAGUAUCCCGCCUGGGGAGUACGAUCGCAAGGUUGAA